UCUUAUUGAGAUAAUUGUUAUGAAGAAAAAUAAAUAGAAGGAGAAGUUAGAGGGCAUUUUAGUUGUCUAUUGUCAUCUAACCAACUAGCCCAAGAUUUAUUUGCUUUAAACAAUGAUUUAUCAUUUUUCAUGAUUGUGUAGGUCAGAAACUUGGAAAGGGCUCAGCUGGAUGGUUCUUCUGCUAUAUGUGACAUCAACUGGGAUCAAGCACCUGACCUAUUCAGUCAGCACUGGACAAGACUGAAAGGUCUAAGAAGUCAUUUAUGUCUGCUUGAGAUCUCAGAAUCCCCUCUGUAUGUACUCAGUGUCUCUCUGUGUUGUCUCACCACUUGGUAAUUUAGCUUGCUCUUGCAUGGUAACUGGCAUCCCUACAGAAAACAUCCCUAAGGGCAAGCUGCCAGGCCUCCUAAAAGUCAGUCUUAUAUCUGACACACUGCUACCUUCUCUGCAUUUUACCAUCAGAGCAGGCCACAAGAUCAGCCCAGAUUCAAUGUUGGAAAAAUAGACUCACCUUCCAGUGGGCAGAACUGAUUGCAGCCAUUGUUGGAAACAAUCAACUGCAGAGAAUGAAGUGAGGAGUUGGACCGUGGCAAAGGUAGAAAGGGGCCAUUUCACACUCUAGACAGAGGGAGCCACUAGGACAAGGCCUUGAGAUGGGACACACUCAGUGUUGAGGAUUGAUUACAAAAAAAAAAAAAAAAAAAUCAAAGAGGUCAAAGAUAUAUGGUGACUGUGCUAAAGAGGAAGGAGCAAUAGGGUAAGUCACUACAAAUGGGAUCAGGGCCCUUCUAAGAGGCCUGAACAGCUGACAGAGACAGAGUGUCGGUGAGAUGAUCAGGAGCCUUGGAGUCAGGGUUAGGUCUUCAUAUUUUAUUCCAAAUGUGAUGAGAUGCUUUCUUAGGAGAGCAGCGUGAAAUAGCUCAUGUGUCAGAGGGAGCACUCUGGCUGUUCUGUGGAGAAUGGAUCAGAGGAAAGAACUGAAGGAAGGAGGGAGACCAGCGUGGGGCUCCUGCCAUCAUCCUGGUGAGAGGUGUUGGUGACUUAGAGAGAUGCAGCAAGUGGCCAGAUUCUGGGUUUGGGAUUUUGAAAUUACAGCUGGCAAGGCCUGCCAACAGAGUGGAUGGAAAUGGG
This 1131-nucleotide long non-coding RNA is filed under the name Marmota monax (woodchuck). Lineage: Eukaryota; Metazoa; Chordata; Mammalia; Rodentia; Sciuridae. The record is from RNAcentral.